UACAGAGAGUGCAAGCGUUAAUCGGAAUUACUGGGCGUAAAGCGCGCGUAGGUGGAUAUUUAAGUCGGAUGUGAAAUCCCUGGGCUUAACCUAGGAAUUGCAUCUGAUACUGGGUAUCUAGAGUGUGGUAGAGGGAAGUGGAAUUUCCGGUGUAGCGGUGAAAUGCGUAGAUAUCGGAAAGAACACCAGUGGCGAAGGCGGCUUCCUGGACCAACACUGACACUGAGGCGCGAAAGCGUGGGGAGCAAACAGG
This 253-nucleotide ribosomal RNA is filed under the name uncultured bacterium. RNAcentral describes it as "partial 16S ribosomal RNA". It matches the Rfam family "Bacterial small subunit ribosomal RNA", at positions 524 to 776 of the family's 1533-position model. The record is from RNAcentral.